This 381-nucleotide ribosomal RNA is filed under the name uncultured marine Chaetocerotaceae. Its description in RNAcentral is "SSU rRNA". It matches the Rfam family "Eukaryotic small subunit ribosomal RNA", at positions 587 to 972 of the family's 1831-position model. Lineage: Eukaryota; Bacillariophyta; Thalassiosirophyceae; Chaetocerotales; Chaetocerotaceae. The record is from RNAcentral.
AGCUCCAAUAGCGUAUAUUAAAGUUGCUGCAGUUAAAAAGCUCGUAGUUGCAUUUCCGAGGCAAGGGAUUAGUCCGACCUUUGGUGGGUAUUUAAUCCUCUUGCCUCGUCCUUGAGUGGUGCUUCUUGGUAUUAAGUUAUCGAGGAGAUAGCCGCUCAUCGUUUACUGUGAGAAAAUUAGAGUGUUCAAAGCAGGCUUAUGCCGUUGAAUAUAUUAGCAUGGAAUAAUAAGAUAGGACCGCGGUACUAUUUUGUGGGUUUGAGAACCAAGGUAAUGAUGAAUAGGGACAGUUGGGGGUAUUCGUAUUCAGUUGUCAGAGGUGAAAUUCUUAGAUUUACGGAAGACGAACUACUGCGAAAGCAUUUACCAAGGAUGUUUUCA